RNAcentral lists this unclassified non-coding RNA (346 nucleotides) under soil metagenome. RNAcentral describes it as "partial contains 5.8S ribosomal RNA, internal transcribed spacer 2, and large subunit ribosomal RNA". The stretch from base 1 to 120 matches the Rfam family "5.8S ribosomal RNA", at positions 35 to 154 of the family's 154-position model. The record is from RNAcentral.
GAUGAAGAACGCAGCAAAAUGCGAUAAGUAAUGUGAAUUGCAGAAUUCAGUGAAUCAUCGAAUCUUUGAACGCACAUUGCGCCCGCUGGUAUUCCGGCGGGCAUGCCUGUUCGAGCGUCAUUUCAACCCUCACACCCCCGGGUUUGGUGUUGGGGAUCGGCUCUGCCUCACGGCGGUGCCGCCCCCGAAAUACAUUGGCGGUCUCGCUGCAGCCUCCAUUGCGUAGUAGCUAACACCUCGCAACUGGAACGCGGCGCGGCCAUGCCGUAAAACCCCAACUUCUGAAUGUUGACCUCGGAUCAGGUAGGAAUACCCGCUGAACUUAAGCAUAUCAAUAAGCGGAGGA